RNAcentral lists this ribosomal RNA (450 nucleotides) under uncultured bacterium. RNAcentral describes it as "bacterial SSU rRNA". It matches the Rfam family "Bacterial small subunit ribosomal RNA", at positions 354 to 796 of the family's 1533-position model. The record is from RNAcentral.
GUGGGGAAUAUUGGACAAUGGGCGAAAGCCUGAUCCAGCCAUGCCGCGUGUGUGAAGAAGGUCUUCGGAUUGUAAAGCACUUUAAGUUGGGAGGAAGGGCAGUAAGUUAAUACCUUGCUGUUUUGACGUUACCGACAGAAUAAGCACCGGCUAACUUCGUGCCAGCAGCCGCGGUAAUACGAAGGGUGCAAGCGUUAAUCGGAAUUACUGGGCGUAAAGCGCGCGUAGGUGGUUUUGUAAGUUGGAGGUGAAAUCCCCGGGCUCAACCUGGGAACUGCCUCCAAAACUGCAUGACUAGAGUACGGUAGAGGGUAGUGGAAUGUCCUGUGUAGCGGUGAAAUGCGUAGAUAUAGGAAGGAACACCAGUGGCGAAGGCGACUACCUGGACUGAUACUGACACUGAGGUGCGAAAGCGUGGGGAGCAAACAGGAUUAGAAACCCCGGUAGUCC